Cervus elaphus (red deer) is the source of this 2305-nucleotide long non-coding RNA. RefSeq lists it as uncharacterized. The record is from RefSeq and is a predicted model, not a curated record. The transcript is spliced from 3 exons. Lineage: Eukaryota; Metazoa; Chordata; Mammalia; Artiodactyla; Cervidae.
AAACCUGUGCCCCCUGCAGUGGAAGCGUGGAGUCUCAACCACUGAAUCGCCAAGGAAAUUACUGCUCUGGGUCGGGCCAGAUUCUAGAGCAUUCAUCAUGCUGUAGGCGGGGACACCACCCAGGAGGAGGAGAGCACGUGACUGCCUGCAAACAAGCUGCCCGAUUGCCAUCCGCACCGCCCACCAUCCUACUCCAGCCAGCUGCCCCCUCCAAGACAGGAGUUAUUUGGGCUGCAGGGUUUUGAGCAGCCACACAGAAAACCCCGUUUCACCAGACGGCGGCAAACCUAGCAGUGGUGAGAUGGGCUCUGGGCCAGCCUGACAUAGACCCGCACACCCAGUGUGACUGGGCAGAGAGAGAGGGGUGGUCCCUCAGCCUGAGAAGGGCACAGAAGUGACUUCGACGACCGGUAGGCGAGAGGAAACCUCACAUUUGGUCACUGAGAACAAAGAGCAUAGCAUUUGACAACCGGAGGCCCCAGCAGGUUGUAGGCGUCAAUCACAGGGUCACAGGAAUGGAGGGCAGAGCCCAGGACCUGGUGGACAAGGGACUCUCAGGAGCAUCCAGGGCAGAGGGCCAUGGACCAGCUGUGCCAUCCUGUCUGUGACACUCAGAUACUGUGUAAACCUCCCCUGAAUCCCAGUCCCACCCAGGAUAAGGAAAGAAGGUGGGAUGGAGUGGGGAGCACCUCAAAUUGACCAGUCCAACACCACUGUCUUCAGCAGAAUCCCUUCUCCAGGAAACCACAGUAUGGGCUCUUAAGGCCUCUGACUGGUUGGGUGAGGCCCAAUCCCAUCAUCAGGGAUCCUCUCAUUUCCUCGAAUUCAGUGAUGGCAGAGAUUGACCACAUCUACAAAAUACUUUCAAGGUAACACCCCAGUUGGUGUUUGAUUAGAUAUCUGGACACGACAGCCUGCUCAGGCUGACACAAUAACCAUCACUCUGGCUUUUUUUGCAUAUCCAAGUUUAUGAUUCUGUUUAAAUUCACACUUGAGACAAAUAUAGUGUAUAAUCACACAUCCUGAUGCUUCUAACGGGGCACACCAAGACUCUUGUGUGAGGCAAAUCCCCAUUCUGUCCACUCCCACUUUUGAGGGGGCCUGGCUCCCCAUUUUCUCUUGGCAGGUGGGGGAAGGCGCAGGAGCUUCGCAACAGCCAGACCCUGUGCCCUCCUUCCCCAGACUCGGGAAGGUUCUAUUUUGUUGUUGUUGUUUAGUCGCUCAGUCAUAUCCAACUCUUUGCAACCCCAAGGACUAAAUAAAGCCCACCAGGCUCCUCUGUCCGUGGAAUUUUCCAGGCAAGAAUACUGGAAUGGGUUCCCAUUUCCUUCUCCAGGGAAGAGAGGAAUAUAAUUCACAAACUGUAGGAUUCACACUUUUAAAAUAUAUAAUUCAGUGGCUUGUAGUAUAUUUACAGAGCUGUGCAAACAUCAUUACAAUCUAAUUUGAGAGCAGUUUCAUCACCCCCUGAAGAGACUCUGCCCCCACUAGCAGUCAUUCCUUGUCUUUCCCUAACUCCUCCAGCCCAAGGCAACGAUUAAUCUGCUUUCUGUCUCUGUGUAUUUGCCUGGCCUGGACGUUUAGUAUAAAUGCUUAGUCACUCAGUUGUGUCUGACUCUUUGCAACACUUUGAACUUAGCUUGCCAGGCUCCUCUGUCCAUGGGAUUUUUCAGUCUAGAAAGCUGGAGUGGGUUACCACUUCCUCUUCUAGGGGAUCUUCCCGACCCAGGGAUCAAACCCAUGUCUCCUGUGUCUCGCGCAUUGCAGGCAGAUUCUUUACUGCUGAGCCAUCGGGGAAGCCCUUUGUGUAAACAAAAUCAUCCAGUAGGUGGUUUCCUGUAUCUGCUUCUUUAACGUCACAGGAUGUUUUCCAAGUUCAUCCACAUUGUAGCCUGUAUCCAAAUUCCAUUUCUUCUUCUUGCUAAAUAUAUUCCGUUGUACAGACAUAGCGCAUAUUCCUCAUCUGUUCACCAGUUGAUGGAUAUUUGGAUUGUUUCUGCCUUUUGUCUGUUGGGAAUAACACCGCUGUGAACAUUUACAUGCCAGUGUUUGUGUGGACGUAUGUUUUCAUUUCUCUCGGGUGUCCACCUCGGAGUGGAACCACACAGUCAUAUGGUGACUCUAUAUUUAACCUUUUCAGGAAGCGCCUGACUGUUUUCCACCGCAGUGGCUCUACUUUUACCUCGCCACCAGCAAGGUACGGGCUCCAGUUACUCCACAUCCUCACCAGCCUGGGUUUUUCCAUCUUUUUGAUGAAAGCCAUCCUGUGGGUGUGCCUUAGCCUGUUUGUGUUUUUGUAUGGCCU